CUGUUCUAUCCUCUUUUUUAAAAGAAAUUAAAUCUGUAUGAUUUUAUAACUUCACCUAAAAUCUAUUCCAGAUGGAUGAAGGGAUUCAACAACCAGCAAAACAUCAAACCAAAACUGGCCACUUAA
This is a long non-coding RNA of Sphaeramia orbicularis (orbiculate cardinalfish), 126 nucleotides long. RefSeq lists it as uncharacterized. The record is from RefSeq and is a predicted model, not a curated record. NCBI's taxonomy places the organism in Eukaryota, Metazoa, Chordata, Actinopteri, Kurtiformes, Apogonidae. The transcript is spliced from 4 exons.